RNAcentral lists this non-coding RNA (203 nucleotides) under Peptococcaceae bacterium. Lineage: Bacteria; Bacillati; Bacillota; Clostridia; Eubacteriales; Peptococcaceae. The record is from RNAcentral.
UAUCAAGUAAAGAUAAAAGGUGCCCUUUAAGGGAGAAUAGGGAAGUCCGGACGGGAUUAUCUGUGAAGGUGAUUCUGAAACGGCGCGGACCCACCACUGUAGACGGUGAGUUACCUCAGAUUUAACCACUGGGCAAAGCCCGGGAAGGUUGAGGCAAACGAUGACCCGUUAGCCAGGAGACCUGCCUUUUAUCUGCACUUGGG